Molecule: ribosomal RNA, 1550 nt
Filed under: Salmonella enterica
Lineage: Bacteria; Pseudomonadati; Pseudomonadota; Gammaproteobacteria; Enterobacterales; Enterobacteriaceae
Also listed under: 1 other name
Description: bacterial SSU rRNA
Rfam family: Bacterial small subunit ribosomal RNA
Source: RNAcentral
AAAUUGAAGAGUUUGAUCAUGGCUCAGAUUGAACGCUGGCGGCAGGCCUAACACAUGCAAGUCGAACGGUAGCACAGAGAGCUUGCUCUCGGGUGACGAGUGGCGGACGGGUGAGUAAUGUCUGGGAAACUGCCUGAUGGAGGGGGAUAACUACUGGAAACGGUGGCUAAUACCGCAUAACGUCGCAAGACCAAAGAGGGGGACCUUCGGGCCUCUUGCCAUCAGAUGUGCCCAGAUGGGAUUAGCUAGUUGGUGAGGUAACGGCUCACCAAGGCGACGAUCCCUAGCUGGUCUGAGAGGAUGACCAGCCACACUGGAACUGAGACACGGUCCAGACUCCUACGGGAGGCAGCAGUGGGGAAUAUUGCACAAUGGGCGCAAGCCUGAUGCAGCCAUGCCGCGUGUAUGAAGAAGGCCUUCGGGUUGUAAAGUACUUUCAGCGGGGAGGAAGGUGUUGUGGUUAAUAACCGCAGCAAUUGACGUUACCCGCAGAAGAAGCACCGGCUAACUCCGUGCCAGCAGCCGCGGUAAUACGGAGGGUGCAAGCGUUAAUCGGAAUUACUGGGCGUAAAGCGCACGCAGGCGGUCUGUCAAGUCGGAUGUGAAAUCCCCGGGCUCAACCUGGGAACUGCAUUCGAAACUGGCAGGCUUGAGUCUUGUAGAGGGGGGUAGAAUUCCAGGUGUAGCGGUGAAAUGCGUAGAGAUCUGGAGGAAUACCGGUGGCGAAGGCGGCCCCCUGGACAAAGACUGACGCUCAGGUGCGAAAGCGUGGGGAGCAAACAGGAUUAGAUACCCUGGUAGUCCACGCCGUAAACGAUGUCUACUUGGAGGUUGUGCCCUUGAGGCGUGGCUUCCGGAGCUAACGCGUUAAGUAGACCGCCUGGGGAGUACGGCCGCAAGGUUAAAACUCAAAUGAAUUGACGGGGGCCCGCACAAGCGGUGGAGCAUGUGGUUUAAUUCGAUGCAACGCGAAGAACCUUACCUGGUCUUGACAUCCACGGAAGUUUUCAGAGAUGAGAAUGUGCCUUCGGGAACCGUGAGACAGGUGCUGCAUGGCUGUCGUCAGCUCGUGUUGUGAAAUGUUGGGUUAAGUCCCGCAACGAGCGCAACCCUUAUCCUUUGUUGCCAGCGAUUAGGUCGGGAACUCAAAGGAGACUGCCAGUGAUAAACUGGAGGAAGGUGGGGAUGACGUCAAGUCAUCAUGGCCCUUACGACCAGGGCUACACACGUGCUACAAUGGCGCAUACAAAGAGAAGCGACCUCGCGAGAGCAAGCGGACCUCAUAAAGUGCGUCGUAGUCCGGAUUGGAGUCUGCAACUCGACUCCAUGAAGUCGGAAUCGCUAGUAAUCGUGGAUCAGAAUGCCACGGUGAAUACGUUCCCGGGCCUUGUACACACCGCCCGUCACACCAUGGGAGUGGGUUGCAAAAGAAGUAGGUAGCUUAACCUUCGGGAGGGCGCUUACCACUUUGUGAUUCAUGACUGGGGUGAAGUCGUAACAAGGUAACCGUAGGGGAACCUGCGGUUGGAUCACCUCCUUACCUUAAAGAA